This 207-nucleotide ribosomal RNA is filed under the name uncultured bacterium. Its description in RNAcentral is "partial 16S ribosomal RNA". It matches the Rfam family "Bacterial small subunit ribosomal RNA", at positions 568 to 774 of the family's 1533-position model. The record is from RNAcentral.
UGCGUAGGUGGCGGGGUAAGUCAGGUGUGAAAUCUCGGGGCUCAACCCUGAAACUGCACUUGAUACUGCCUUGCUCGAGUACUGGAGAGGAGAUUGGAAUUUACGGUGUAGCAGUGAAAUGCGUAGAUAUCGUAAGGAAGACCAGUGGCGAAGGCGAAUCUCUGGACAGUUACUGACACUGAGGCACGAAGGCCAGGGAGGCAAACG